CUGUCAUAAGAGCAAACAAAAUGCUAAGCUUUGCUUCCUAUCACUUCAGUUAGCCUGUGAUGUAAGUUGCGAGUCUUGCCUGCACCCUUUUUUUCCCCACAAAGGCAUUGACUAAUUCUCGGGCAGCACAGUGCAGAUGGAGACACUUCAGUGGACAUGUCUCCUGGGGCUCUUGUCCGUCCGAGCAGCACCUUCCUGGUCAGAAACACCUAUGGUCUCACAGAGCCCAAAAGCAAUUUCUCUUCUCAAGGUGCAUUCCACAGCUGAGAUAAGAUGUAAAUCCACCCUGCAUGACCCAGUUGGGCUCUACCUAAAGAGGCGCUUCUCCGAUGAUAAGCAAGUGCUGUAUUUGUCAGUUCCUAAGCUGCUCCUGACAUUUGGUAGAGGUUACGAACACAGGGUCUCUAUGACUGGCAAAUGCUGCAACUUUACCUUCCAAAUGUCACAGCUAAUGAUGGAUGACACAGAUGGCUACUAUUGCAGCUGGACACAGUUUGAUGUCAAAACAAAGGAAAUUACAGUCUACAAAAGCAAGGAAACCAUCAUCAUUGUCAGAGAUCCCAACGAGAACUGCAGCAGAAACAGCACCAUGGAAGGCAUCUUCUUCAUCCUGAGCCUGCCAGUGUUAGUAAUCGUAGUCAGCGUCAUCAUCGGAGCGGCAGUUUCGUACUGUACCAGGACUAAAGUGUACAGACCGGCAAAGGUACACCAGCACAGGCAACUGCUGUGUCCCCACCACAGUGACCAGCAGAGCCACAGCAGAAAAUUGAGAACAGAGAACCAGAACUGCACUUAGGAGGAAGCAGGAACAGCUAAAAACUCCUAUCUUCACUUCAAUGUCUCAAACAUGUGACUUUCUGUUCUCUUUCUUUUUUUUCUUUUUUUUUUUAACUAAAGUUAGUCUCUCCGUGUGCGCGCGUAUCUUAGCACAGGAAAAGGGGAUGGGGGGGCGGAUGUGAUGUCAGCUGUCUUUUGAUGUUUGAAAAGCAAAGUGCACAUUUAUUAGAAGCUAUGUACAUGCAUUACCUCAUAUGUGUUCUACUUUCAGUUAUCACAUGUAAAAAAUAAACACAGGUG
Molecule: long non-coding RNA, 1077 nt
Filed under: Scleropages formosus (Asian bonytongue)
Lineage: Eukaryota; Metazoa; Chordata; Actinopteri; Osteoglossiformes; Osteoglossidae
Description: lncRNA (ENSSFOG00015026747.1)
Source: RNAcentral